GCCUCGGGAACGCCGAACAGACGCCGGAGUAUUUCCCUCUUACGGCCACGGCAUCGAUGUGGAGGAAUCUUGAAAUCGUGGGCUCGCUUCAGUGCGGUUUUUUCAGGCGCGACUUAGCGACCAAUCAUGGACGACAACUUGGGAAAGGAAGACCGCGUUCUCCUCUUCGGCGGGGGCUGCCAUAUGGAGCUGAAGGCGCUCUGCUCUGUAACGCUUUCUGCGGUCGUCUUUCGAUUCAUAGCACACGUCACAGACUAUAUGAACUGGGCGAGUGCUCCAACUUCAGUCACGGCUCGUGGCACACGUCGUGGACCACUGGUUCCAGCAGCUGGACGAGCAAGUUGACCCCUCGUCUUCAUCGUGGCACACAUCAUGGGCUCCGAAUUGGCGAGUAUGCCAGCAUCAGCCAUGGUACCCUCCAUGCACCACUAGUUCUGGCAGCCGGACGAGUGUGGGAACUUCAGCUUUCCGAGUCAUGGCGCCUGUCGGGGACCACUGGUGAUGGCAGCCGGACGAGCACGUUGACCCCUAGUCCCCGUCAUGGCACGCGUCGGGGACUCCGUCAACUCGGCGAGUCUGUAAACCUCAGUCGUGGCGCGCGCAAAGGACCGCUAUUACUGGCAGCCAGAGAAGUGCGGCAGCUUCGUCCUUCAUGUUCACGGCAUACGUCAUUGGCCACUAGCGACGGCAGCCAGACGGACGCGCUGGCACCUCGUCCUCGCCAUAUGGCACACGUCGCGGACUCCGUCAACGUGGCGAGCCUGCCAACCUCAGUCGCGGCACACGCCACUGCAUGGUUACAGCAUCUGGACGAGCGCGCCGAUCUGUGUUCCGAUUCAAGGCUCAGGUCAGCAGCCACGGGAUUCCGGCGCAAAUUUUCGUCUUCCAAGCCGUGGCACAUGACAUAGACCACUGAUUGCGGCAGCAUAUGCGGCAGCCAUUUUCAUUUCAUUUCAUUUAUAUACGAGCAUAUAUAUUACUUUGUCUCUCUC
This is a long non-coding RNA of Dermacentor albipictus, 992 nucleotides long. RefSeq lists it as uncharacterized. The record is from RefSeq and is a predicted model, not a curated record. NCBI's taxonomy places the organism in Eukaryota, Metazoa, Arthropoda, Arachnida, Ixodida, Ixodidae.